CUGCCAGUAGUCAUAUGCUUGUCUAAUCCCGCGCCAUGGCGCCGGAACAUGC
RNAcentral lists this ribosomal RNA (52 nucleotides) under Philodendron barrosoanum. Its description in RNAcentral is "partial 18S ribosomal RNA". The record is from RNAcentral. Lineage: Eukaryota; Viridiplantae; Streptophyta; Magnoliopsida; Alismatales; Araceae.